RNAcentral lists this ribosomal RNA (460 nucleotides) under uncultured bacterium. RNAcentral describes it as "partial 16S ribosomal RNA". It matches the Rfam family "Bacterial small subunit ribosomal RNA", at positions 338 to 795 of the family's 1533-position model. The record is from RNAcentral.
CCUACGGGAGGCAGCAGUGAGGAAUAUUGGUCAAUGGGCGCAAGCCUGAACCAGCCAAGUCGCGUGAGGGAUGACGGUCCUAUGGAUUGUAAACCUCUUUUGUCGGGGAGCAAGGCCCGCCACGUGUGGCGGGAAGGAGAGUACCCGAAGAAAAAGCAUCCGCUAACUCCGUGCCAGCAGCCGCGGUAAUACGGAGGAUGCGAGCGUUAUACGGAUUUAUUGGGUUUAAAGGGUGCGUAGGCGGAAGGUUAAGUCAGUGGUCAAAUGUCGGUGCUCAACACCGGCCUGCCGUUGAAACUGGUCUUCUAGAGUGAGCGAGAGGUAUGUGGAAUGCGUGGUGUAGCGGUGAAAUGCAUAGAUAUCACGCAGAACACUGAUUGCGAAGGCAGCAUACCGGCGCUUAACUGACGCUGAGGCACGAAAGCGUGGGGAGCGAACAGGAUUAGAUACCCUGGUAGUC